CUCUAGCAGUGGGAGGACUUGGGGGGAAUCUAGAACUCUAGCAGUGGGAGGACUUGGGGGGAAUCUAGAACUCUAGCAGUGGGAGGACUUGGGAGGAAUCUAGAACUCUAGCAGUGGGAGGACUUGGGAGGAAUCUAGAACUCUAGCAGUGGGAGGACUUGGGGGAAUCUAGAACGCUAGCAGUGGGAGGACUUGGGGGGAAUCUAGAACUCUAGCAGUGGGAGGACUUGGGGGGAAUCUAGAACUCUAGCAGUGGGAGGACUUGGGGGGAAUCUAGAACUCUAGCAGUGGGAGGACUUGGGGGGAAUCUAGAACUCUAGCAGUGGGAGGACUUGGGGGUAAUCUAGAACUCUAGCACAGUGGGAGGACUUGGGGGUAAUCUAGAAUGGGUGGCUAUUGUCAUUUCUUUCUCACAUACAGAUUUGAUGUUCCAAUCAGAGAGUCAAACACCUUUCUAUCCCUUUUAUAUUUAGCGGUUUGUGUCUCAUUCCAUGUUUUUAAUUUAUUUAUAGGUCAUUCAUUCACUCUAACAACUAGGGUUGCAAAAUUCUGGUUAAUUUCCUGGUUGGAGUUCUGGGAGAACUUGGGAAAGUUAGCAUCAUUCUGAAACCUUAUUAAGUACAGUGUUCUGUCUAUAGAUGAACAGUCAGUGAGGUGUUUCUGACACACAACAAUCACCAUUAUAGCUUGACCAGGGUCUGUGUGCAACACUGCCACUGUAAGUACAAUAACUGUAAGGUGCAGUAUGUACGAGAAUUCAAACAGUCCGAGAUGUUCACUAUAGUUUUGCCUUAGGUCAUGUGAUCAGGGCUUAUAGAACAGAGGUCCACAGCUCAGGUUUUCAUUUGUCCCUGGCACUACAUUGAUUAAGUAAUAUCAUUGAUUGGAUAGUGCACACACACACCUGGUGGCCCAGGUCAAAAUUAGUCUGUGAUUUAAAGUUAGACUCUGUGAAAUGAUGUUGCCAUGAGCAACAACGUAAGAUACUAAGAUGAGCGAGAUGCAACACUUCUCUCUCACACAGUCACACACAGUAUCUGUGCAUGUACACGUGUUCACUACAGAGUGGUAGCCAGGGCACCAAAACAGUAGACAAGUUGAGCUUCGUGCUUCAACGCUCUUAGUUGUGGAAAUUGACCCACUGUGCUGUUUACUGUCUACAUCUACGCCAUAUCGCUGAGGCCACCUUUAAAAGGUUAGUAAGUAAAGCAGCAAACACUGCAGAUUCCCCCAGGACCACAGCUGUGUACCCCUGGUUUAGAGAAAUAUCAUGUGUCCCAAAUCAACCCCGAGCCCCUAUUCCUACAUCCUACCCUUUGGGCACUAUUGCAGAACUGAGAGGAUUGGAUGGGUAUCAGCAAUAUAAUAAUGAAACUCUUAUAGUGCUGUUAUUACAUAAAGAAUCUCAAAGUGCUUUAAAGCAACACACAAAAAGACUAGCGAUUUAGAAAAAUACAUCGUUCAUCAGAUGGAAGUUCAUGAGAGGGUCGGGAAGUUCAUGGCUUGAGUGGUCAUCGGAGGGAGGCUGUCAGAGGGGAAGGGUGAGGAUGGUCAUCGGAGGGAGGCUGUCAGAGGGGAAGGCUGAGGAUGGUCUGGAGCAAGUCCAGGGUCAGACGGGCAGCACGGUGUCAUCAAGGUGGCUCACAACUCCACCUAUCCUAUCAGAGGGCACAGUGGAGCUGUUACCAUAUGGCUUGUACCUAACCAAUCCUUUCCUAUCUAGAGUAGGGGUCAAGGUUUUUGGUUUAGGAUUGGGCCUACUCUGUUUAGUGCUCCCAUUCUUCGCCUACGUCCCAAUUCUCUUCCUUGCUCACAUAGUGUCCACUUGGCUUGCACACUCCCUGUCGUAGAUUUAAAAGCAUGGGAUUGGUAUAAGCAUUGGCUGGAGGGAGGAGGGAAGUUUCCAGCAUUGCUAAGUCCAUGCAUAAAAAAGUGUGCAAGUCCACAUUUCAGGAGAGGAAAAAGGGUGGUGAUUUGGGUCGUGGCCUUCAAGCUCUCAUUGACGUUUGACAAGGCCUGCGGGAUGCAUCCCAAAUGGAACCUUUUUCCUUUUAUAGUGCACUACUUUAGAGCCCUGGUCAGGAAUAGGGUGUCUGUUUAGGGAAGAGGAAGAGGUCUAUGUAGGGAAUAGGGUGGCCAGAGGACCAUUUUAUUAUGAUGAUGAUUAUGACUGUACAAGGUUUGCUUUACUGUUUGUGCUCAGUUAUAAUCCUUUUGGUUUAGGUUGUCCUAAUGGCAGGUCAAGCAAUAAAACAAAUACAUUCUUACAAAGUGUGUCACCUGUGGUUAUUGAUGAUUUGUUUGAGGUGUCUCUCUCUCUCUCUGUGUAUGUCCAUUCUGAUGCCCUUCAUCACCAUAACUCUGCACAUACUCACUACAGAGGAACCCACUGGACACAUGGCAUAUGUCCCAAAUGGCCC
Molecule: long non-coding RNA, 2420 nt
Filed under: Salmo salar (Atlantic salmon)
Lineage: Eukaryota; Metazoa; Chordata; Actinopteri; Salmoniformes; Salmonidae
Description: lncRNA (ENSSSAG00000105943.1, ENSSSAG00000120122.1)
Source: RNAcentral